RNAcentral lists this unclassified non-coding RNA (1269 nucleotides) under Hevea brasiliensis (rubber tree). The record is from RNAcentral. Lineage: Eukaryota; Viridiplantae; Streptophyta; Magnoliopsida; Malpighiales; Euphorbiaceae.
CGGAGUGAGGCUUGGAUGCGUCCCCUUUUCUCUUUCGAAAGCUCAGCCGCUCAGAGAGAGAAGAAUGGGGAGUAGGGUUCCUGUGCAACAGUACAACUUGAGAUCUGCGAAUUCCUUCAUCGGUAGCUCGCUGCAUGAUCUUAACACCGUCGAUUCCCGCCCCAAUAAUCUCGAUGCCAUUGGGGAUGCCGUUGAUAGCCACGCCGAUGAUAGCUUGGAUGCCGACGAUGAUUCCAAUGCUGCUGUUGACUGCAUGCAUGAAUCCUACAGGAAUUCCUUACCACUUCACGGUGUUGGAGUGGAAGAAGAUCGACCUAGUCUUGAGAACAAUGGUUCUUCAAGAGUUGCCUAUGAUAUAUUGACCAUUGAGGAUGUUUCGCCUAUUGAGUCUGCCAGGGCAAGAUUUUUGCAAAUAAUUGUGGAUCACUUCAUAAGUGAUCAUGUGGUUGAAGUGGCUGAUAAUGAGGCUGAAUGUGUUGCUCACUCAGGACAAGACAAAUUGAGUAAAAGGAAAUCAGGAGACGUGCAAUAUGAAGGUGAUCCGAGGUUUGCUUUGCCCUUGAUGUAUGUUGCAAAUAUGUAUGAAACACUAGUGCAUGAUGUAAAUAUGAGGCUGGCUUCUUUGAAUGGUAUUCGAGAUAAGACCAUUGGAGUAGCCCUUGAAGCAGCGGGUGGUUUGUACAGAAGAAUGGCUAAGAAAUUUCCUAAAAAGGGUUCUUGUGUAUUUAAAAGAAGAGAAUUGGCAACUUCUUUAGAGACAAGGACACGAUUCCCAGAACUAGUAAUACAGGAAGAGAAGAGAGUACGUUUUGUGGUGGUCAAUGGUUUGGAUAUAAUUGAGAAACCUGACAAUGUGCCCAUUGAAGAUGCUGAGUGGUUUAAAAGAUUGACAGGUCGGAAUGAGGUUGUUGUCUCUGCUCGAGACUAUAAAUUCUACUCUCCAAGGCACAAGUAUAGACGUCCUGUGUCCAACAUUCCUGGUUUGCCAACACUUCCUGCUACUGACAAUUCUUCUACGAUUGCUACUGCACAAGGAUUUAGAUCUCCACAAAAUGAGCAGCAGACUCCUUCGAAGCAUCACGUUGAUUCUUUGUCGCAUCAGCCUCAGUUUCACCCAAUUCAUCAGAACCAUCAUCAAGUUCACCAAAGUCAACAUGCAACCCAGUUUUCUCAAAGUCAACAAUGUGGACCAACUUCACACUUGCCUGAAAUCGCCCAUGCUAAUCAGUCUCCUGGCAUUCCACAACACAUGGCUUACUUACAACCCCC